Molecule: ribosomal RNA, 253 nt
Filed under: uncultured bacterium
Lineage: Bacteria
Description: partial 16S ribosomal RNA
Rfam family: Bacterial small subunit ribosomal RNA
Source: RNAcentral
UACGUAGGGUGCGAGCGUUGUCCGGAAUUAUUGGGCGUAAAGGGCUCGUAGGCGGUUUGUCGCGUCGGGAGUGAAAACACGGGGCUUAACCCCGUGCCUGCUUCCGAUACGGGCAGACUAGAGGUAUGCAGGGGAGAACGGAAUUCCUGGUGUAGCGGUGAAAUGCGCAGAUAUCAGGAGGAACACCGGUGGCGAAGGCGGUUCUCUGGGCAUUACCUGACGCUGAGGAGCGAAAGCUGGGGGAGCGAACAGG